UACGGAGGGUGCAAGCGUUAUCCGGAUUCACUGGGUUUAAAGGGUGCGUAGGUGGACUGGUAAGUCCGCGGUGAAAUCCCCGAGCUUAACUCGGGAACUGCCGUGGAUACUAUUAGUCUUGAAUAUCGUAGAGGUAAGCGGAAUAUGUCAUGUAGCGGUGAAAUGCUUAGAUAUGACAUAGAACACCUAUUGCGAAGGCAGCUUACUAUGCGAUCAUUGACACUGAGGCACGAAAGCGUGGGGAGCAAACAGG
This 253-nucleotide unclassified non-coding RNA is filed under the name uncultured Chitinophagales bacterium. RNAcentral describes it as "contains 16S-23S intergenic spacer region". It matches the Rfam family "Bacterial small subunit ribosomal RNA", at positions 524 to 776 of the family's 1533-position model. Lineage: Bacteria; Pseudomonadati; Bacteroidota; Chitinophagia; Chitinophagales. The record is from RNAcentral.